This 245-nucleotide ribosomal RNA is filed under the name uncultured bacterium. RNAcentral's name for it is "partial small subunit ribosomal RNA". It matches the Rfam family "Bacterial small subunit ribosomal RNA", at positions 26 to 285 of the family's 1533-position model. The record is from RNAcentral.
AGGACGAACGCUGGCGGCGUGCUUAACACAUGCAAGUCGAACGGAAAGGCCCGUUUCGGGGGUACUCGAGUGGCGCACGGGUGAGUAACACGUGAAUAAUCUACCUCCGAGUGGGGAAUAACUGAGAGAAAUCUUAGCUAAUACCGCAUAACACUUACGAGUCAAAGCAGCAAUGCGCCUGGAGAGGAGUUCGCGGCAGAUUAGUUAGUUGGCGGGGUAAUGGCCCACCAAGACGAUGAUCUGUA